Long non-coding RNA from Vigna angularis (adzuki bean), 555 nucleotides. RefSeq lists it as uncharacterized. Lineage: Eukaryota; Viridiplantae; Streptophyta; Magnoliopsida; Fabales; Fabaceae. The record is from RefSeq and is a predicted model, not a curated record. The transcript is spliced from 3 exons.
CGUCGGCGAUGGUGGAAGACACGUGGCAACAGUACAGUGGUCGACCGUCCAGAGUGGGUUGGUGUAGUGCGUCCGGCCGAGCGCGCACUGGUAUAGUGGAGACGUGCGUUCGGCUGAGUGGAGCACUCACCUCUUAAUUUAAUUCUGAUAGAUCUCUCUCUUCACCCUCUUUCCUUCAGUUUCUCAGAUUCAAUUCUCUCCUCCUUCUCUCUUCACUCUCUGCACCCUUCUCUCUCUAAGAAACCACCACUGCACCUCCUCCAUUCCACACUCCGGCAAGAUUGAAGGACGCUCGGCGUAGGAGUUCCAGAGAGAACGUUCGACUGGUGAAGCUGUGGAUUAACGAGCGCUUGUUAUUGGAAUUUGAGUAGAGAAUCUGUGAACGUUCGUCAUUUCCGGAGGGAGAUGAGCGUUUGGAAGAAGCAUUGAAUGAAGAGAGCCUGGUUGAUGUUGAAGUGAAGAUCGAGCAGUGAGAUCGCUCGGCCAGUAUUGUAUUUAGUUGAAUUGAGUGGUCGUUCGACCAUCUCUUGUUUUCUUUUGAGUUAAUUCGACCGU